Molecule: RNA transcript, 3257 nt
Organism: Phoenix dactylifera (date palm)
Lineage: Eukaryota; Viridiplantae; Streptophyta; Magnoliopsida; Arecales; Arecaceae
Gene name: heat shock factor protein HSF30-like
Source: RefSeq, a predicted model, not a curated record
AUCCGCCGAAGCACCGCUCUCUGUUUCCCCUUCCAGAAACUUCUGUACGUAGUUCAUAAAUACCCCACUCCGCUCGGCCCGCUUCGGCUCCUUGCCCAUAUCCGAUAACAGCAAAACCCCGCCCCAACGCCAAGCUCACCAUAGCUCUCAAUUAAUUUAGUCUUUUCACAGUGAGCAAUCCAGUUGGGUGCUCAUGGAGCGCGUCGUGGUGGUGAAGGACGAGGAGGAGAUGGAGGUCCCUCAGCCGAUGCCGGGGCUGCACGAGAUCGGGCCGCCGCCAUUCCUGACGAAGACGUUCGAGAUGGUGGAGGACCCGGAGACGGACGCGGUGGUGUCGUGGAGUAGAGCUCGGAAUAGCUUCGUUGUUUGGGACUCGCAUAGGUUCGCCACCACUCUCCUCCCCAGGUACUUCAAGCACAACAACUUCUCCAGCUUCAUUCGCCAGCUUAACACUUACGGCUUUCGAAAAGUGGAUCCGGACCGAUGGGAAUUCGCGAACGGGGGCUUCCUGGGAGGCCAGAAGCAGCUCCUCAGGAACAUCAAGAGGCGGCGUAACGUCGGCCAGAGCUCCAAUCAGCAGCAGCAGCAGGGUGGCGGCGCGUGCGUGGAAUUGGGGAAAUUCGGGCUCGAAGCUGAAGUGGAUCGACUGAGAAGAGACCGGAACGUUCUGAUGCUGGAGAUUGUGAAGCUCAGGCAGCAGCAGCAGAGCUCCCGGUCCCUGCUCCUCGAAAUGGAACGGCGAAUGCAGGGCACCGAGCGGAAGCAGCAGCGGACCAUGGCGUUCCUGGCUCGAGCUCUCAAGAACCCGCUGUUCAUCCGGCAGCUUCUGGUUCGAAGCCAGCAGAUGAAACAACUGCCAGGAGCAGGCAGGAAGCGGAGACUCCCGGCGACUCCGAGCUCGGAGAAUCUGCGAGCAGGUGAAGAAGACGAAUCGGCCAUCCAAUCGGAGAUGGAGAGUCUGCUGUCUGCCCUGGACAGCGGCGUGGGCGGCUCGAGCAUCGGCCGGAAGAAUGAACAGACGUUCGACGCUAUGGAUCAGAGCUCGGGCGCGAUCACCGAUCUGAUAUGGGAGGAUCUGCUGCUGAACGAGAGUCUGCUUGUAGGGAAUGAGGCAGCGCAAGGAGAGCAGCCGGGGAUGGAAGUCGCGCCGGAGGAACUGGCGGCAGAGCAAAUUGAGUGGGGCGACGAGGUGCAGGACUUGGUGGAUCAGAUGGGCUACUUGGCUUCAUCUCCAGAGCCUUAGAUUGUAUUUAGAUUUGUGUCGGUGCUUUGUUAGUUCUUGGUUGGUCCGGUCCGAGUCUGCCACCUCCGCCAUCAUUGUCCAGUGGGUAUCCUUGUGUCCGCACUUAGCGUAGGUUCUUUGUUGCAGUAAACGUGUCUUAGUGCUUCGCGCGAAGUGUUGCUGAAUAAUGGCAUCUCUUGACCUGCAGGCAGUAGUUGAAGAAAGGAAGAAGCAAUCCAGGAGAGAUGUCUUCCACAUGGGUCUUCUAUGUUGAUUGAAAAUUGCAGUCAUGGUUUGAUUGAUGAAGACAUUUCAAGAGUCUGCAGAGGAGACUACUCUUGCAAGUAAACAAAGCAGAGUUUCUUAUCUGCUUUGGGUGCAGGUGCAGGACUGAGUUUGAGUGCUUAGGAGUGUCAAGGGAGGUAAAAAAAUGGAGGGGUUAAUGGUACAGAAUAGUUAAUGGAUUUCAAAACUUUGGGGAACUUUUUGCAAUGCUCGAGGAGCCGCAGGCCCGCAGGUGUCAAAAACUUUAGGUGUUCUUGAAUUAGAUGAAGCUGAUAAAGAUAUGCCAGUGAAUGGCUGGCCAAGAUAAAAGAGAAUUCGAGCAAUCCUUUUCUAGCUUAUGAUGGUUCUCAGUUAGGAUUACCAAAAUGCCUCCAAGAGAAGGUCGAUCACCUUUUCAUCAAAAUUAGCUUAUUUUAACCUACUUGUUGGAAUGUUCUACCUGUGAUGGCCUACUGAUCGCUUAUUCUGCUUUUGCUGCUUCAGCACUUGCUUCCGGCACCUCCAAUUUCAACUUCUUUGACCAAGCAUCACGAUAAGCCAUAUAACAACUAUCAUUGUACUGUGUAUCGCUUUAUCAUUGUGUAAAACUGAUGUAUGGUGGUGUUUUUCUACGUUCAACUACUAAAUUUGAUUUUGAAGAAGCAUCAGUGAAUCUUGACAUGCCAAAUUCACAGCAUACAUGAAAGAGAAUGGGAGGAAGACAAGUGAACGACUGAUGCCAAGAGAAGGCAUCGGAAUUUGACAUCAGUUUGGAGAGUAUUGCAAGAGACUUUUGUUGGUCGGCUAGAGUUAUUGAGCACCUAUAUCAACUGCUGCUGUGACUGGCUAGGGCAGGGAAGGGCAGCUGUCAUUUAGGUUUCUGCUACAAUUUUUGGUAGUAGUGUUCAGGCUGAAGCAUGUAUCAGUUUGGGUUGGCAAAAUUGAUCCAUUGAUGCAGAUGCAUGAUGGUCAAUUUUUCUUAGUGGUGUACUAGUGUUCCACUCCAGCUUUGGUGCAGCAGAUCUUGAGCUAUUUUGUGCAUGCAUGGCGCUGUAAAGCUCUGUGCAUCAGAAAUGCAGAUUGAAACAGAAGAAGGGAACAUGCAAUCAUUCCUUGCAUGAUGUAAUCCAAUCAAACUUGAUGUCAUUGUCUCGGCCUCCUUGCGUGAAGCGACACUUCUAUCCUCCUUGUGUCUGUGCAGUCAUCGACAGCUCUUCUGAAGUUUGCCUUCGUCGUCCUUUAAUGUCUCAAAUAAGAUAUCCGGAGUUGUGGUUACAUACUUCCUACGGACUGUUCCAAAGCAAAAUCUGCAAGCAUUCAGAAUGAUUAAUUCAGGGAAGACUGGGUAUUUUCUGUUGUAAAUUUGGGUUCUUUAACUCCAUUUGCUUGUUGGUCACUAAAGCUCGGCUUUUUGUGAGCAAGUAGACUCGGGUUAUUCAACUCUGUUCGGGUUCUUUCUUUGAAGUUUUUGCAGCGAGUAGUGCGGAAAAACUGAAGGCAAAGAAAUGGUACUGGAGUUACUAGAAGCCAUAGAUAAAACGAUUGAGCCAGUAAUGGUCUCCAUAAAAUUUGCAGCAAGCUAGUUCACCGGAAUGGCGGCCUUCUGUAUAAUCUCAGCGUUUUGAAGUGUUCCUAAAUGACCUUUAAGCCUGGUGUUCAUCAAGGCCAGAUUGGGGUAGUUCACCAAAAUGGCCUGCUGGCUACUCUGGACUAGUUGUAUCACCUUGUAGAUCUAAAUCCUUUUAUUGCGUGAAACCGGAGAUUAUAUUAA